CCUACGGGUGGCAGCAGUGGGGAAUAUUGGGCAAUGGGCGCAAGCCUGACCCAGCAACGCCGCGUGAAGGAAGAAGGCUCUCGGGUUUUAAACUUCUUUUUACAGGGAAGAGCAGAAGACGGUACCUGUCGAAUAAGCCCCGGCUAACUAAGGGCCAGCAGCCGCGGUAAUACGUAGGGGGCAAGUGUUAUCCGGAUUUACAGGGUGUAAAGGGGGCGCAGGCGGGGAUGGAAGCCAGGGGUGAAAGCGCGGGGCCCAACCCCGGGACUGCUCUUGGAACUGCGUGGCUGGAGUGAAGGAGGGGCAGGCGGAAUGCCUGGUGUAGCGGUGAAAUGCGUAGAUAUCAGGAGGAACACCGAUGGCGAAGGCGGCCUGCUGGACUGCAACUGACGUUGAGGCCCGAAAGCGUGGGGAGCAAACAGGAUUAGAUACCCGAGUAGUC
Molecule: ribosomal RNA, 442 nt
Filed under: uncultured bacterium
Lineage: Bacteria
Description: partial 16S ribosomal RNA
Rfam family: Bacterial small subunit ribosomal RNA
Source: RNAcentral